AUUGCCAGAAUUUUUGCGAUAUAGGGGAUCAGUGGUAAAUUCAGGAUCAACAACACCAGAUUGCCGAUAUACAUCGAAAUGAUCACCGACCAGAAAAUCUGGGGUUCAUCCGUCAUUAAUCGUGGGCC
RNAcentral lists this non-coding RNA (128 nucleotides) under marine eukaryotic metagenome. Its description in RNAcentral is "Ruegeria cis8 sRNA". It matches the Rfam family "Ruegeria cis8 sRNA". From Rfam's summary of the family: Cis-encoded. Targets hypothetical protein. Higher sRNA expression during C-limited growth. The record is from RNAcentral.